GGGCCAAAAACAUCUCGUUCAGCGUCAAGGAAGCGUCACGAAACGGCUUCAAGGAGGCCGAGGCGCUGACAGUCAACUCCAGCGACGCCCAGCAAAAGGUGCUUAACGACAUUCUGCUUGCCAGCAACACGCUUCGACAAAAGGUGGAAGAGACACAUGUCGUGUUGAGCCAGGCGACGCCCCGAAUCAGUGGAUCGCUGGAGAAGACUGUUGGUGGAAUGAAGAAACCCGAUGAGCAGACACAUGUACGCCCAUCUACAGCUUGAUCUCUGAACCGGGGAAGGUAAAUGUUCGUGUCAGUCGCUAUCUACACGCUAGCUGAGAAUAUAGAUAGCCGCUGACAGACAUGAGGGAGGGUCAGACGACAUAAGAGGGACCAGAAGACAUACGGAAGGGCUAGCAAACGUGUUUAGAGGUCAAAAAAACACGUCCAAUGGGUCAGCAAAUGCUUCGGACCGUCUAGCAGAUUUGAAUGAGCCACUCACUGAAGCUCGACAAUGGCUUAGUGUGAGGUCUAGAGCUCUCCAAGAGCUCAUUUGACACUCAAAGCACUUGUCCGACCUUUCAAUGGUUGGACCCAGUUUUUAAUAACAAUGGAGUGGUCCUAGGAAUGGAUGAAGAUCCUGCCCCAUUAAACACGCGACUCAUACAGCUGGUUUUAGAUAUCUUGAUCCAGCUCCGAUGUGCUAAUAGUUUUCCUAUACUUGCUACAAGCAACACGAAGGCAACACAAAGACAUAAUACUUAGACUAGAUCUUGUAGAGGAAUGUGUUUUGAAGACACCAUCACAAGUAUUUGCAAUAUAAGGACAACAAGAUUCCUGUUCAACAUUA
RNAcentral lists this unclassified non-coding RNA (833 nucleotides) under Yarrowia lipolytica. Lineage: Eukaryota; Fungi; Ascomycota; Dipodascomycetes; Dipodascales. The record is from RNAcentral.